RNAcentral lists this ribosomal RNA (486 nucleotides) under uncultured bacterium. Its description in RNAcentral is "partial 16S ribosomal RNA". It matches the Rfam family "Bacterial small subunit ribosomal RNA", at positions 28 to 507 of the family's 1533-position model. The record is from RNAcentral.
GACGAACGCUGGCGGCGUGCUUAACACAUGCAAGUCGAACGCUGAAGCCCUGGCUUUUGUUGGGUUGGAUGAGUGGCGAACGGGUGAGUAACACGUGAGUAACCUGCCCUCUUCUUUGGGAUAACGCCCGGAAACGGGUGCUAAUACUGGAUAUUCACUGAUCUUCGCAUGGGGGUUGGUGGAAAGGUUUGUUCUUGUGGGUGAUGGGCUCGCGGCCUCUCAGCUUGUUGGUUGGGUGAUGGCCUACCAAGGCUUUGACGGGUAGCCGGCCUGAGAGGGUGACCGGUCACAUGGGGACUGGGAUACGGCCCAGACGCAUGCGGGAGGCAGCAGUGGGGAAUAUUGCACGAUGGGCGAAAGCCUGAUGCAGCGACGCGGCGUGAGGGAUGGAGGCCUUCGGGUUGUAAACCUCUUUCGCUAAUGGUCAAGCCGCAACUGUGGGUUGUGGUGAGGGUAGUGGGUAAAGAAGCGCCGGCUAACUACGUG